UUUUUAUAACCUUUGAGACCAGACUCAUACAUGUAUAUGGUGUUCAUCAUAUCCAUAUCAAUGCUUUUCUUUCGAUCCAAUUUCCUUGGAACUCACAUAGGAUAACCACUAUCAAAUGCAUUAGCUGCAUGGGCAUCAGAAAUUGAUCUGAUAAAAUAAUUUGCACUUUGUAUAAUAAUAAAUCAAUGUUGUCUGGUCAACAUUAGUCCCGAAGGUUUGAUAUUUGCUGAAUGUGUAUUAUAUAUAUAUGUUAGUGAUCUGAUGAAAUAAUUCAUAGAGUUACUCCCUCACUGGUCCCACAUUGUAUCAAAUUUCCAGGGACCUUCCUAGACGUACAUUAAACAUACAUAUGUAAUAUUGAUCAAUAUACUCAUGCAUGUGCUGUUUUCUAUUCGUUCUUUAAAGGUACACCACCAGUCUAAUCUACAACUUAACAGAGGAAUUUUAAAACAGUCCUUCCCAGUAACAAAAAAGAAAUUAUCCUACACACGGGUACCAGGAUCCAAAGGUGGUCAGACAAAACUUGUGUUCAAAGGGAAGUAAUCCUUUGGACAUUCCUGAAUCAUCGCUUCUGUGAUAAGACUUCUGGGUCACUGAUUACUGGUAUAUCAUACUGGACUCUAAUCCCAAAGGAGUUGCUUUGUAUACAUCUAUUUAUGUUCAAGUUGAUGUACCAGUUGUAUGAUGGAUUUUUUUGUAUUCAAUAAUCAUUCAUAUUGAAUAAAAUACUUUGAAAGCCUUGUA
This is a long non-coding RNA of Pecten maximus, 744 nucleotides long. RefSeq lists it as uncharacterized. The record is from RefSeq and is a predicted model, not a curated record. Lineage: Eukaryota; Metazoa; Mollusca; Bivalvia; Pectinida; Pectinidae. The transcript has 2 exons.